CAGAAACCUGUCAUUUGUCCAGCAAACAGUAAUUAAGGGAGACAAGCGAGUCUGUCAAGCAAAAAUACCAAAGUGUCACUCAAAUUAUUUGUCCCACACGUGCUGGAAUCUGGCCAUCUAAACUAUCAACUAAAAGGAAAGGCUAUUUUGGUUCUGAAGCAGGAAAAUCAGACAUGUCUUGGCUCUUACCUUUGGCACUAACCUACUUAAUCUGACAAGUGAGACAAACUCAUUGGAAACCUAUCUGUUUUGCUUCAGUGUAAUCUGUAUAUAUUGCCUAUUCUUUUGUAGGGGAAAUAAUGUUGAAAACAUUCAGUCUUUUUGGCAGUUAAUCAACAAGUCAUACAACCUUACGUCUAACAGUCAGAAAUUUCCUAAUUAACCAUUAAAAAAAUGCAACAGUCAAAACCAUGAAACAGUUAUUUGCUCUAGGUUACUGUUUUUAUUUCCAUAACCACCUUUCUGCUAGACAAGAACAUUAGCAAAACCUGAGUCAGAAAAGCCGUGUCCGUGACAAUCCCGUUCUGUUUUCUUCUUCCAGUUACCACAUGGAGCUUUUUCACAGUUCCAGAGGUUCUCCUCAUUUUAAAACAUCAAAAAAGUACUACAAUUGAUGGCAGUUGUUGUUAAAUAAAGUUCAAUCAACUUUACAGAAUUUUAGUAUAAAUUCAAGCAUGUAAAUUAACACAAAACUUAAAAAAAAAAAAAAACACCAAACAAACCCAAGUGCUAGCUCACCUCUGGUGCCAUGAGAUGUAACAGCACUAUCUGUUUUUAUAUUUAGUGGUAAAAAUAUAAUCCAGUUUUAGCACCGAUCUACAAGAUUACAUGUUAAUGAAGAGAUAGGAUUUGGCUUACUGGAAGAUAACAGUCCUACUAUCCCUCAGUGAGGAAAUCUGUUCACUUUGCUGCAUCCUGGCUCACAGAAAAGACUAACACGUGAGGAAGAAGAAUAGUCUUUGUUAAGGCUUUUCAGUACUUAGAUCACCUAAGUAUUACUGUUGUGUUUUGCUGGAAGUGGAGAAUUGCAUCACACAUAGGAGAUCCCCAGGAGUUACACUGUUGUAGACAUGUCAGGCUGGAUCACAUUUAAAAUGCUGACCAUGGCUUUGCAGCCUUAGA
This is a long non-coding RNA of Pipistrellus kuhlii (Kuhl's pipistrelle), 1122 nucleotides long. RefSeq lists it as uncharacterized. The transcript has 2 exons. The record is from RefSeq and is a predicted model, not a curated record. NCBI's taxonomy places the organism in Eukaryota, Metazoa, Chordata, Mammalia, Chiroptera, Vespertilionidae.